AGUGAACGCUGGCGGUAGGCCUAACACAUGCAAGUCGAACGGCUGCACAGUACUUGCUCCUUGUUACAGCGGCCGACUGGCGGACAAGUCCGAGGUACAUCCCAGGCUGUGUGUUCUUGCGUCCGGACACGGGCGCUCUUACCCCAUUCCUCCUGACGACCUACGUGGGAGAUCUUCGGAUCUCACGCCCUCCCAUGAGUGUAUGUCGGAUUAGCUAGUUGGCGGGGUAAAGGCCUACCAAGGCGACGAUCCGUAACUGGUCUGAGAGGAUGAUCAGCCACACUGGAACUGAGACACGGUCCAGACUCCUACGGGAGGCAGCAGUGGGGAAUAUUGGACAAUGGGCGAAAGCCUGAUCCAGCCAUGCCGCGUGUGUGAAGAAGGUCUUCGGAUUGUAAAGCACUUUAAGUUGGAAGGAAGGGCAGUAAGUUAAUACCUUGCUGUUUUGACGUUACCAACAGAAUAAGCACCGGCUAACUUCGUG
Molecule: ribosomal RNA, 484 nt
Filed under: uncultured bacterium
Lineage: Bacteria
Description: partial 16S ribosomal RNA
Rfam family: Bacterial small subunit ribosomal RNA
Source: RNAcentral